RNAcentral lists this ribosomal RNA (548 nucleotides) under uncultured Ambispora. RNAcentral's name for it is "SSU rRNA". It matches the Rfam family "Eukaryotic small subunit ribosomal RNA", at positions 548 to 1098 of the family's 1831-position model. The record is from RNAcentral. Lineage: Eukaryota; Fungi; Glomeromycota; Glomeromycetes; Archaeosporales; Ambisporaceae.
UUGGAGGGCAAGUCUGGUGCCAGCAGCCGCGGUAAUUCCAGCUCCAAUAGCGUAUAUUAAAGUUGUUGCAGUUAAAAGCUCGUAGUUGAAUUUUAGACUUGAUCUUAUGGUCCAUCCAAUGGAUGAGUACUGUUUUGAUUGGGACUUCACUUCUGAUAAACUUUUAUUCCCUUUAUUGGGUGUAAUAGGGAAGCAGGACCAUUACCUUGAAAAAAUUAGAGUGUUCAAAGCAGGCAAAAUUGCUCGAAUACAUUAGCAUGGAAUAAUAAAAUAGGACGGAUGAAUCUAUUUUGUUGGUUUCUAGGACCACCGUAAUGAUUAAUAGGGAUAGUUGGGGGCAUUAGUAUUCAAUUGUCAGAGGUGAAAUUCUUGGAUUUAUUGAAGACUAACUACUGCGAAAGCAUUUGCCAAGGAUGUCUUCAUUAAUCAAGAACGAAAGUUAGGGGAUCGAAGACGAUCAGAUACCGUCGUAGUCUUAACCAUAGACUAUGCCGACUAGGAAUCGGAAUUUGUUAUUAUAAUGACAAGUUCGGCGCCUUACGGGAAAC